Long non-coding RNA from Peromyscus eremicus (cactus mouse), 593 nucleotides. RefSeq lists it as uncharacterized. Lineage: Eukaryota; Metazoa; Chordata; Mammalia; Rodentia; Cricetidae. The transcript is spliced from 2 exons. The record is from RefSeq and is a predicted model, not a curated record.
GAGACGGGGCCAAGGGAGUCGCCAAGAGACCCGAGAUCGGGAUGGGCCAGCGCGCUCUCUGUUCCGGGACCGUGGACAGUGGAGGUUGACCGAGCAGAGCUCCAGAGAACACAGCUGGACUGCGAUACACCUCCCUCAGACCCCGUGACCUACCUAUCCCUUCAUUUAUUCAGGACCCUGAGGAAGGCUUUCGCUUUGGCUGCAUGAGCUCUCCUGAUGUUCCCAUCAGAUGAAGAUUUUGCCAGCUUUGUUUCUUCACUGUCUUACAGGAUUACUGAAAUCAAAGGGAAGGCUCUUGAAGAAAGAGAGGAAGUAUUAAUGUUUAGACCAAUACUUAUUCAGAAGGCCAAAAAUAUUGAUCAUGCUCAGUUUCCUUUCCAACUGACUGGUGCAUAUGAGAGUCUUUAAUGUUUUGAACAUCCGUGAAGAAAGAAAAAUGCUUCUCAAAUUACUGGUUGUGCAUAGCAAUUUUCUUCCCACCCAGUUUCACAACAUUUUAAAUAUAAUGAAGAACAGAACAUUGAAAAAUUUUAAAGUAUGGACAUUUUUUUGUGUGACUAGAUACACCAGACUCAAUAAAAACUUUUGAAUGU